UACGUAGGGCGCAAGCGUUUAUCCGGAAUUAUUGGGCGUAAAGAGCUCGUAGGCGGUUUGUCGCGUCUGCCGUGAAAAGUCCGGGGGCUCAACUCCGGAUCUGCGGUGGGUACGGGCAGACUAGAGUGAUGUAGGGGGAGACUGGAAUUCCCGGUGUAGCGGUGGAAUGCGUAGAGAUCGGGAAGAAUACCCGUGGCGAAGGCGGCCAGCUGGGCCAGGUCCGACACUGAGGCGCGAAAGCGUGGGGAGCAAACAGG
This 257-nucleotide ribosomal RNA is filed under the name uncultured bacterium. Its description in RNAcentral is "partial 16S ribosomal RNA". It matches the Rfam family "Bacterial small subunit ribosomal RNA", at positions 524 to 776 of the family's 1533-position model. The record is from RNAcentral.